This 1436-nucleotide ribosomal RNA is filed under the name Lactiplantibacillus sp. Its description in RNAcentral is "bacterial SSU rRNA". It matches the Rfam family "Bacterial small subunit ribosomal RNA". Lineage: Bacteria; Bacillati; Bacillota; Bacilli; Lactobacillales; Lactobacillaceae. The record is from RNAcentral.
GCAGUCGACGACUCUGGUAUUGAUUGGUGCUUGCAUCAUGAUUUACAUUUGAGUGAGUGGCGAACUGGUGAGUAACACGUGGGAAACCUGCCCAGAAGCGGGGGAUAACACCUGGAAACAGAUGCUAAUACCGCAUAACAACUUGGACCGCAUGGUCCGAGCUUGAAAGAUGGCUUCGGCUAUCACUUUUGGAUGGUCCCGCGGCGUAUUAGCUAGAUGGUGGGGUAACGGCUCACCAUGGCAAUGAUACGUAGCCGACCUGAGAGGGUAAUCGGCCACAUUGGGACUGAGACACGGCCCAAACUCCUACGGGAGGCAGCAGUAGGGAAUCUUCCACAAUGGACGAAAGUCUGAUGGAGCAACGCCGCGUGAGUGAAGAAGGGUUUCGGCUCGUAAAACUCUGUUGUUAAAGAAGAACAUAUCUGAGAGUAACUGUUCAGGUAUUGACGGUAUUUAACCAGAAAGCCACGGCUAACUACGUGCCAGCAGCCGCGGUAAUACGUAGGUGGCAAGCGUUGUCCGGAUUUAUUGGGCGUAAAGCGAGCGCAGGCGGUUUUUUAAGUCUGAUGUGAAAGCCUUCGGCUCAACCGAAGAAGUGCAUCGGAAACUGGGAAACUUGAGUGCAGAAGAGGACAGUGGAACUCCAUGUGUAGCGGUGAAAUGCGUAGAUAUAUGGAAGAACACCAGUGGCGAAGGCGGCUGUCUGGUCUGUAACUGACGCUGAGGCUCGAAAGUAUGGGUAGCAAACAGGAUUAGAUACCCUGGUAGUCCAUACCGUAAACGAUGAAUGCUAAGUGUUGGAGGGUUUCCGCCCUUCAGUGCUGCAGCUAACGCAUUAAGCAUUCCGCCUGGGGAGUACGGCCGCAAGGCUGAAACUCAAAGGAAUUGACGGGGGCCCGCACAAGCGGUGGAGCAUGUGGUUUAAUUCGAAGCUACGCGAAGAACCUUACCAGGUCUUGACAUACUAUGCAAAUCUAAGAGAUUAGACGUUCCCUUCGGGGACAUGGAUACAGGUGGUGCAUGGUUGUCGUCAGCUCGUGUCGUGAGAUGUUGGGUUAAGUCCCGCAACGAGCGCAACCCUUAUUAUCAGUUGCCAGCAUUAAGUUGGGCACUCUGGUGAGACUGCCGGUGACAAACCGGAGGAAGGUGGGGAUGACGUCAAAUCAUCAUGCCCCUUAUGACCUGGGCUACACACGUGCUACAAUGGAUGGUACAACGAGUUGCGAACUCGCGAGAGUAAGCUAAUCUCUUAAAGCCAUUCUCAGUUCGGAUUGUAGGCUGCAACUCGCCUACAUGAAGUCGGAAUCGCUAGUAAUCGCGGAUCAGCAUGCCGCGGUGAAUACGUUCCCGGGCCUUGUACACACCGCCCGUCACACCAUGAGAGUUUGUAACACCCAAAGUCGGUGGGGUAACCUUUUAGGAACCAGCCGCCUAAG